This 761-nucleotide long non-coding RNA is filed under the name Rattus norvegicus (Norway rat). RNAcentral describes it as "long non-coding RNA NONRATT008301". The record is from RNAcentral. Lineage: Eukaryota; Metazoa; Chordata; Mammalia; Rodentia; Muridae.
CAGAGAGGAGUGUCUUCGAACAGUUGAAUGCUAUGAUCCACACACAGAUCACUGGUCCUUCCUUGCUCCCAUGAGAACACCAAGAGCCCGCUUUCAGAUGGCUGUGCUGAUGGUUAGUACAGUGUGCUCAAAACAGUCCUUUAUCUUGUCUUUUUCCUUAGCACCACCCAAGGGAAAUUCUCACUUAUCACUUUUGACAUAGGGACAGCUUUAUGUGGUGGGUGGAUCAAAUGGACACUCCGAUGACCUGAGCUGUGGAGAGAUGUAUGACCCGAGCAUUGAUGACUGGACCCCUGUGCCAGAGCUGAGAACUAACCGUUGUAAUGCAGGUAAUAAUACUCUACUAACUAACACGGCCAGGGUCUAUUCAUAAUACUUGGGUUAUUAACAUGCUUUACACCUUUCCUAGGAGUGUGUGCUCUGAAUGGGAAACUGUACAUUGUUGGUGGCUCUGAUCCAUAUGGUCAAAAAGGCCUGAAAAAUUGUGAUGUAUUUGAUCCUGUAACAAAGUCAUGGACAAGCUGUGCUCCUCUUAACAUUCGUAAGUUGGUCUCUUUAUUUUGUUUUGUUUUUUUGGGGGGUGGGGGUAUGGUUUGCCUGAAACUUUGUGUAGCCCAAACUGGCUGACCUUGAACUUGUAGUUCUUUAUAAACCUGUGAAUUACUAGAUUGCAGUACACACUUACAGUUCUGAUGGCUUUAAUAAUAAUCCUGGUUUGCUUUAAUUUUUAUAGGUAGACACCAGUCUGCAGUUUGUGAACU